AAGAGUUUGAUCAUGGCUCAGAUUGAACGCUGGCGGCAGGCCUAACACAUGCAAGUCGAACGGUAACAGGAAGCAGCUUGCUGCUUCGCUGACGAGUGGCGGACGGGUGAGUAAUGUCUGGGAAACUGCCUGAUGGAGGGGGAUAACUACUGGAAACGGUGGCUAAUACCGCAUAACGUCGCAAGACCAAAGAGGGGGACCUUCGGGCCUCUUGCCAUCAGAUGUGCCCAGAUGGGAUUAGCUAGUUGGUGAGGUAACGGCUCACCAAGGCGACGAUCCCUAGCUGGUCUGAGAGGAUGACCAGCCACACUGGAACUGAGACACGGUCCAGACUCCUACGGGAGGCAGCAGUGGGGAAUAUUGCACAAUGGGCGCAAGCCUGAUGCAGCCAUGCCGCGUGUAUGAAGAAGGCCUUCGGGUUGUAAAGUACUUUCAGCGGGGAGGAAGGUGUUGUGGUUAAUAACCGCAGCAAUUGACGUUACCCGCAGAAGAAGCACCGGCUAACUCCGUGCCAGCAGCCGCGGUAAUACGGAGGGUGCAAGCGUUAAUCGGAAUUACUGGGCGUAAAGCGCACGCAGGCGGUCUGUCAAGUCGGAUGUGAAAUCCCCGGGCUCAACCUGGGAACUGCAUUCGAAACUGGCAGGCUUGAGUCUUGUAGAGGGGGGUAGAAUUCCAGGUGUAGCGGUGAAAUGCGUAGAGAUCUGGAGGAAUACCGGUGGCGAAGGCGGCCCCCUGGACAAAGACUGACGCUCAGGUGCGAAAGCGUGGGGAGCAAACAGGAUUAGAUACCCUGGUAGUCCACGCCGUAAACGAUGUCUACUUGGAGGUUGUGCCCUUGAGGCGUGGCUUCCGGAGCUAACGCGUUAAGUAGACCGCCUGGGGAGUACGGCCGCAAGGUUAAAACUCAAAUGAAUUGACGGGGGCCCGCACAAGCGGUGGAGCAUGUGGUUUAAUUCGAUGCAACGCGAAGAACCUUACCUGGUCUUGACAUCCACGGAAGUUUUCAGAGAUGAGAAUGUGCCUUCGGGAACCGUG
Molecule: ribosomal RNA, 1035 nt
Filed under: Salmonella enterica
Lineage: Bacteria; Pseudomonadati; Pseudomonadota; Gammaproteobacteria; Enterobacterales; Enterobacteriaceae
Also listed under: 1 other name
Description: partial 16S ribosomal RNA
Rfam family: Bacterial small subunit ribosomal RNA
Source: RNAcentral